UACAGAGGUCCCGAACGUUGUUCGGAUUUACUGGGCGUAAAGGGUGCGUAGGUGGCAGGGUAAGUUCGGUGUGAAAGCUUCGAGCUCAACUCGGAAACGGCAUUGAAUACUAUCCUGCUUGAGGGUCGGAGGGGAGACUGGAAUUCUCGGUGUAGCAGUGAAAUGCGUAGAUAUCGAGAGGAACACCAGUGGCGAAGGCGGGUCUCUGGACGACUCCUGACACUGAGGCACGAAAGCUAGGGGAGCAAACAGG
Molecule: ribosomal RNA, 253 nt
Filed under: uncultured bacterium
Lineage: Bacteria
Description: partial 16S ribosomal RNA
Rfam family: Bacterial small subunit ribosomal RNA
Source: RNAcentral